CCGGAGUUUUGCUGGGAGGAGGAUUGUCUCACAGCUACCAGAAAAUGAAGAGCUACUGGCAAGCAAAGAAUCUGUUGUCACAAGAGUCUACGAUUGAAAACUGAAGUGAUACCACUAUGAUUGGCUUUAACUAGGUCUGUAAACCAGACUACACCUCAGACAAUGCCUCGCGAGAAGAAGGAACCAUUCAUUGACUGGCGAAAGAAUGACACGAGAAUGUGACGUCCACAUGUCUAUGUCAAAGCCUCUACUCCACAUCAGCUAUUAUAGCCAAGCAUGCAUUAUCAUGAUUCAUUCAUUUCCAAUCUAUCUAGACACAUAGUUUUUUAUAUUAAAUCCCAGAAUGCACAUGUAAAGUUAUUCUUGUUAUUGUCAAGCCUCCAUCAUCAUUAUCAUUCUCAGUCAGAAAUUUUCAAAAGUCAUCUGAGACGCUCUCAGAGCUGGAACAACCUGGAACAACUAGAGACACACUUUCAGUAGCCAUUUUUAUUUGGAAAAAUUCGUAUACUAGACCGUUACAUCCGAGGCAAUCAUCAUCCCAGCCCAAACGUCCGUUUACGGAGGCGUUUCAUAUCCAUGUAAUUUAUAGUAUCUAUGGCAGCACCCAUUCAGUCCACUACUAAAUCUUGGCGAGUCAGCAUGAUAGAGACGAAUGUGUCUCACAAAACUUUUUGUAGUGCUGCAAAAAUAUUGACAGCAGGGACAAUCAUAGCUUGACAUGGCAGAAUAUAUACCUAUAGUAUAGUGUGCUACUAGCUAUAUGUAGGUAUCCUUUCUACUAUACUCGUAAGUACCUACGUACGUAUAGCAAGCUCAGAAUGAUGAAUUGCACGUGGUAUACUACUGAGAGUUGGGCGGAGCCAAUCUCUGAAGUAAAACUCACGUGGUUAGUCACGUGGAAAUGCCUGGAAAUGCGCUUGCGCGUAGAUCAAGGCACGAAGUGCAAAAAGACAGCAUGGCAGCAUCUACGAUGGCAGCUACAGCAAGAGAUCAUAGUGACACUGGAGUUGUCUAACUAUCUGGCUGAUCAAGGACAGCACCAAGAUGUACUGACUGCUGUAGAAGUGAACAGACUGACUGGAGCUGAUUUCCUCGAACUUACCAGCAGCCAUCUCAAGGAGCUGUUUCCAGUGUUAGGGGCAAGGAUGUCUGUUCAAAGGCUGAUUUCAUCCUUUACUUCUAAGCCUGCACCAAACCAACAGUCUGAAACUCCUUUAGCUAAAGUAAGAACAAGCUCAUCGGCUAACAAGGAUUGGGUUAAAACUUUCAAACUCCCUGAUCGUUUCAACAACCGCACUAUGAAAUCCCUCAGGGAGGGUGUGAUAACCAAGGCCGCUCGCAUAGACAUCAUUGGCUCGUUGUAUAUCUUGAUGAUGCAGAAUGAUCCUAAACCAAACGGCUUUGUCUAUGAAAUGGCCUGAAAUGGCCUGCACAAGGCUCAUGGAGAAAUAUCCUGUAAUUACGGACAAUACUGAUUAAGUUAACAUUAUCAUUAAUCGCACAUGACCAUGGCACAUGCAGGAACAGCUUACAGAAAUUCAGGAAUGGCCGUAGAGGCGACAAGGAUGAUGAACCUGACGUGGAUAUCCCCGAUACCACCCCCAAGAGAACAAGUACUGCGAAAAAGCGUAGAAUUACACUACAAACUGUCAUGUUAACAAACUGUCAUGUUAACGCGAAUGUAUUACGUGGUUCAUGUGCAUGUGUAUAGCUUUCCCUGAUCCCAUGCAGCAUCCCCUGAGGGUAUAGACAUCUGCAGUGAAUCCUACUAAAAAUCACUUUGAUAUAUGAGGAGGUAGCAAAGAGCAACCCAAAGGCAUCUAAAUUGAAACGUUUGUUGUUGGAAACAUUUGGUGGUAGGAGAGAGUGGAUUAUAAAAGAUGAACCCUCUAUUACUGAAGUUCUGGAUGUUUUUCCUAUGUAUAUAAAGUUUGGCCAUGUGCAUGAUGAUGUAUACUCUUUGUACUUAUAAUAAUAGCUCAAACGAGAGCUGACCAUGAUUCUGGGCUUGCCUAAGGGGCUUGCCUAAGAAACAUGAUUUCCUGAGAGAGUGGCCAGUGUUCAAGGAGAAACUCAUCAAGCUUGCACAGAUUGAAGCACCGACGAGACCUUGCAUAAGAGAAACCCUUCAAAAGAUUCCUAGAUUCCUCCUCAAAGCGAGGAGGAGGAGGAGGAUCAUUUUUUGGAGUUUGUCUGUUGUUUGAGCCUUCUGGAUAAUUUCCUUGCAAGCAGGGCCAAAAUGCGGCUGCUCUACGAGUUUCCGGCUGAUGAAGAUCUACAGAAGAAUAUCAAGAACCUACCUCCUGCUCCAGCAAUUGUAUUAUCUCAUUCGGACUCUGCUGUCCAAAUGAUCGUGGUUGCAGAAAAGAGUAUUAUUGUUGAGCCAGA
Long non-coding RNA from Halichondria panicea, 2388 nucleotides. RefSeq lists it as uncharacterized. Lineage: Eukaryota; Metazoa; Porifera; Demospongiae; Suberitida; Halichondriidae. The transcript has 5 exons. The record is from RefSeq and is a predicted model, not a curated record.